GAUAACUAUUUCAAUUAUACUGGGUUUGGUGUCAUAGAAAUAUCAUGUAUUAAUUGCAGUAUUAGUAAACAAGUCUUUCGAGCAUUUGAAAAAUUCAACCACCAGCAGUUGCAUGGAAUAAGGUGCAAAGCCGAGUAAAGAGACGUGGGAAGUCCAUUAGCUAUAGGCGAUCUGAGCUUUACAAUCAAAGUUAUUAGGAGUUCCAGAUCAUUCACGCACAGAAAACAAAAUGCUAUAUAAUAACACAAGACACAAAUAAUAAAAAUUUAAGUACAGUUCAUGUUUAUAAAGACUCCUUACAAAUGAGUGCAAACAACGGCAUACACUAUACACAAAUUAUGUAAACAUAGAUCACAGUUAUGACUAUGACGCUUUACUACUG
Molecule: long non-coding RNA, 382 nt
Filed under: Brassica napus (rape)
Lineage: Eukaryota; Viridiplantae; Streptophyta; Magnoliopsida; Brassicales; Brassicaceae
Description: long non-coding RNA (BNAP_LNC018531)
Source: RNAcentral